This is a long non-coding RNA of Xenia sp. Carnegie-2017, 141 nucleotides long. RefSeq lists it as uncharacterized. Lineage: Eukaryota; Metazoa; Cnidaria; Anthozoa; Malacalcyonacea; Xeniidae. The record is from RefSeq and is a predicted model, not a curated record. The transcript is spliced from 2 exons.
AAUUCGUGAAGCGGUUCUACAGCUUUGGAAAGUAAUUUCCAAAGUCAGCAUACUUGACAUCGACUGGAAAAUGCAACAGCUUUGUGACGUAUUUUGUUAUUCAACGAUGACGCACAGAAUGUCGGUUUGGCAGAUUUCAAA